GGAUGUGAGGGUGAUCUGGCUGCGACAUCUGUCACCCCAUUGAUUGCCAGGGUUGAUUCGGCUGAUCUGGCUGGCUAGGCGGGUGUCCCCUUCCUCCCUCACCGCUCCAUGUGCGUCCCUCCCGAAACUGUGCGCUCGGUCGAAGAGGACGACCAUCCCCGAUAGAGGAGGACCGGUCUUCGGUCAAGGGUAUACGAGUAGCUGCGCUCCCCUGCUAGAACCUCCAAACAAGCUCUCAAGGUCCAUUUGUAGGAGAACGUAGGGUAGUCAUCCCAUCACCCUUUGCUCUCUUUUCGGACUCGGCCCGCCUGCACCC
This is a non-coding RNA of Gorilla gorilla gorilla (western lowland gorilla), 316 nucleotides long. It matches the Rfam family "7SK RNA". Rfam says of the family: 7SK was discovered as an abundant small nuclear RNA in the mid-70s but a possible function has only recently been suggested. Two independent studies have found that 7SK RNA binds the CDK9/cyclin T complex (known as elongation factor P-TEFb). Lineage: Eukaryota; Metazoa; Chordata; Mammalia; Primates; Hominidae. The record is from Rfam.